UUCUUCUGCUGUACCACCAAUCUCUCCAAUAAGAACAAUACCUUCAGUUUGAGGAUCUGCUAAGAACUUUAUCAUGCAGUCAACAAAAUUUGUUCCAUUGAAAGGGUCCCCACCAAUGCCCACACAAGUAGAUUGCCCUAAACCAACAGCAGUAGUUUGGAAAACCGCUUCAUAGGUCAAGGUACCCGAGCGAGAAACAAUUCCAAUUCGCCCUGGCUUGUGGAUAUACCCCGGCAUUAUUCCGAUCUUGCAUUCUCCAGGCUUGAUAAUACCAGGACAAUUUGGUCCUAUCAAGCGAGUCUUUGAUUGCUUAUUGAGAGCAGCCUUCACUCGAACCAUGUCAUGCUGCGGG
This 352-nucleotide unclassified non-coding RNA is filed under the name Hevea brasiliensis (rubber tree). Lineage: Eukaryota; Viridiplantae; Streptophyta; Magnoliopsida; Malpighiales; Euphorbiaceae. The record is from RNAcentral.